RNAcentral lists this ribosomal RNA (207 nucleotides) under uncultured bacterium. Its description in RNAcentral is "partial 16S ribosomal RNA". It matches the Rfam family "Bacterial small subunit ribosomal RNA", at positions 568 to 774 of the family's 1533-position model. The record is from RNAcentral.
CGCGUAGGCGGCGUGACAAGUCAAUUGUGAAAUCUCCGGGCUUAACUCGGAACGGUCAAUUGAUACUGUUGUGCUAGAGUACAGAAGGGGCAAUCGGAAUUCUUGGUGUAGCGGUGAAAUGCGUAGAUAUCAAAAGGAACACCUGAGGUGAAGACGGGUUGCUGGGCUGAUACUGACGCUGAGGCGCGAAGGUGCGGGGAGCAAACA